UUCCCAGUGUGAGGGUCUACAUCCCAGCUGGGCCAUGGGAGAUUCCUACAGGACCAAGGCAAAAAGGGCCUUGCAGCUCGUGGUGGAGGCAGAAGGAAACUACGAGUUAUAAAGAUCAAAACUCCAUGCAAAGCUACAGCUGCAUCAUACAAGCAGGCAAAAAGGAAGCAUCCUGGGUAGCAUAUGGGCUGUGAAGAAAACAAAACGUGUGAAUUUGAAGGAUGCAGAGGACACAAUCCCAGCCCACAGUGAGCAGAGUCCUGCAGACAAGAACAAUGAACGGAAGAUCCACUACUUCUUUGGGUCAUGGAGGACUCCAGGAGAGGAUAAAUCACACUUCUUUAUAAGAUGAGCUG
Long non-coding RNA from Tachyglossus aculeatus (Australian echidna), 356 nucleotides. RefSeq lists it as uncharacterized. Lineage: Eukaryota; Metazoa; Chordata; Mammalia; Monotremata; Tachyglossidae. The transcript is spliced from 4 exons. The record is from RefSeq and is a predicted model, not a curated record.